RNAcentral lists this ribosomal RNA (301 nucleotides) under uncultured bacterium. Its description in RNAcentral is "partial 16S ribosomal RNA". It matches the Rfam family "Bacterial small subunit ribosomal RNA", at positions 509 to 809 of the family's 1533-position model. The record is from RNAcentral.
CAGCCGCCACGGGAACACGUAGGGUGCAAGCGUUGUCCGGAAUUAUUGGGCGUAAAGAGCUCGUAGGCGGUUUGUCGCGUCUGCUGUGAAAUCCCGAGGCUCAACCUCGGGCUUGCAGUGGGUACGGGCAGACUAGAGUGCGGUAGGGGAGAUUGGAAUUCCUGGUGUAGCGGUGGAAUGCGCAGAUAUCAGGAGGAACACCGAUGGCGAAGGCAGAUCUCUGGGCCGUAACUGACGCUGAGGAGCGAAAGCGUGGGGAGCGAACAGGAUUAGAUACCCGAGUAGUCCCUGUCUCUUAUAU